This 492-nucleotide ribosomal RNA is filed under the name uncultured bacterium. Its description in RNAcentral is "partial 16S ribosomal RNA". It matches the Rfam family "Bacterial small subunit ribosomal RNA", at positions 28 to 506 of the family's 1533-position model. The record is from RNAcentral.
GACGAACGCUGGCGGCGUGCUUAACACAUGCAAGUCGAACGGUGAAGGGACCGGUUUUUGCUGGUUCUGGAUGAGUGGCGAACGGGUGAGUAACACGUGAGUAACCUGCCCCCUUCUUCUGGAUAACCGCAUGAAAGUGUGGCUAAUACGGGAUAUUCUGCGCCUGCUGCAUGGUGGGUGUGGGAAAGAUAUUGUUUCGGUGGGGGAUGGGCUCGCGGCCUAUCAGCUUGUUGGUGGGGUGAUGGCCUACCAAGGCGGUGACGGGUAGCCGGCCUGAGAGGGUGGACGGUCACACUGGGACUGAGACACGGCCCAGAAUCCUACGGGAGGCAGCAGUGGGGAAUAUUGCACAAUGGGCGCAAGCCUGAUGCAGCGACGCCGCGUGAGGGAUGGAGGCCUUCGGGUUGUAAACCUCUUUCGCCAGUGAAGCAGGCCUGUCCCUUUUGUGGGUGGGUUGACGGGAGCUGGAUAAGAAGCGCCGGCUAACUACGU